AGAUGUCCUGUCCUAUUCAGGUGGGGAUCAGUGGCAAUGCUGUUGUUCUGUAGGUAUUGCACUUGUCCCGGCCUGUAAAGGAAGUGGGAGAUGAGCUG
Molecule: microRNA precursor, 98 nt
Filed under: Poecilia formosa (Amazon molly)
Lineage: Eukaryota; Metazoa; Chordata; Actinopteri; Cyprinodontiformes; Poeciliidae
Description: Danio rerio miR-92a-1 stem-loop (ENSPFOG00000021517.1)
Rfam family: mir-92 microRNA precursor family (bases 9-85)
About the family: This family represents the microRNA precursor mir-92. Human miR-92 has two predicted hairpin precursor sequences: mir-92-1 on chromosome 13 and mir-92-2 on chromosome X. miR-92 has also been cloned from mouse embryonic stem cells.
Source: RNAcentral